CCUUUCUCGCACGCCAGCAUGAAUAGCUUCUCGUCCAUGGUGGUCUCCUCCUUGACUUCGCGCACGUCCUUUAAGGUGUUCCAGUUUCAUCCCAUAUCCCAAAGACAUGCAGCUGGUCAUUUAAUAUCCAGCCCUUUGAAUGUCCAGGGAGCUGUCCCUCAACACUGCAGCAAAAGAGGAACCCCCCGGGGAUCAAAGGUGGAUGGGAAAGGAGAGAGACAUGGCGUCCAAGGAAGGAGGCCUGCAACAGCCUGGAACAGGCACCACUCGUCAGAAUAGAGGAUGAACUUUGAGAAUAGCGGCAAAACAUUGCAGCACUUACUGUGGGCUCAGAAGGCUAUUUCUGUACACUUGCAAAUCGAGGUUCGGGGUAUGGCAAUACUCUACUGGACUAUUUGUAUGAAAAAGAUUAUCACUAUGUUAGCAAAUAGCACACGAGACAAUAAAAGCACCCAUUGACCCAUUGAAAAGAGGCAUAUUUUGGGGCUGAAUUCUAUUGCCAGAAGUUUAGACCAUCCAUAUGAAUUACUUUGUCCCAGCAAAGAUGUUUGAAUAUUCCAGAAAAUAUUGGCAACUUCUAUGUGCUCCCAUUGUAAAUGUAAUUCCGCAA
Long non-coding RNA from Amblyraja radiata (thorny skate), 610 nucleotides. RefSeq lists it as uncharacterized. The transcript has 3 exons. NCBI's taxonomy places the organism in Eukaryota, Metazoa, Chordata, Chondrichthyes, Rajiformes, Rajidae. The record is from RefSeq and is a predicted model, not a curated record.